This 82-nucleotide transfer RNA is filed under the name Nitrospirota bacterium. Its description in RNAcentral is "Nitrospirae bacterium (sediment metagenome) tRNA-Leu". It matches the Rfam family "tRNA". From Rfam's summary of the family: Transfer RNA (tRNA) molecules are approximately 80 nucleotides in length. Their secondary structure includes four short double-helical elements and three loops (D, anti-codon, and T loops). The record is from RNAcentral. RNAcentral also lists the same sequence under 1 other name. Lineage: Bacteria; Pseudomonadati; Nitrospirota.
GCCGAUGUGGUGGAACUGGUAGACACGCACGUUUGAGGGGCGUGUAGGGUAACCUAUGGGGGUUCGAGUCCCCCCGUCGGCA